This is a long non-coding RNA of Vidua chalybeata, 404 nucleotides long. RefSeq lists it as uncharacterized. The transcript has 3 exons. The record is from RefSeq and is a predicted model, not a curated record. Lineage: Eukaryota; Metazoa; Chordata; Aves; Passeriformes; Viduidae.
AGAGCCACUUUCCAGCUCUGCUCAGCUGGACAAGAUCAAGAGAAUGGCGUCCAAGUAGGAGUUUUCUUCCCCGAUUCUCAUGGCAUAGUUGUGCCCAACUGGACUUGAAGGUACCUGCAAUUUAACUUCUUCCUGCAUGAAUGGAGUUGGAGCCCCAUUUUUGGCUGUGCCAGCACAGCUAUGCUGUCAGUCAUGUGAAAUAGCCUCGGCACAUGAACAGUAGGUGAGAAGUUCAAGUACCAGAGGUCAGCUGAAUGUACCGCAAAUUACAGGUAGCGAGGAAUCAGAACAGUGGAUAGAGUUGGAUUAUGAAGUCCCAGCAACUUUUUUCUGUAUGCAGCUUAACCCUGCCCAUUAUUCAUCUGGUGAAUUCUUCCAGAAUUCUUCCAAGCCACUGACUGAAC